This 301-nucleotide ribosomal RNA is filed under the name uncultured bacterium. Its description in RNAcentral is "partial 16S ribosomal RNA". It matches the Rfam family "Bacterial small subunit ribosomal RNA", at positions 509 to 807 of the family's 1533-position model. The record is from RNAcentral.
CAGCAGCCGCGGUAAUACAGAGGGUGCAAGCGUUAAUCGGAAUUACUGGGCGUAAAGCGCGCGUAGGUGGUUUGUUAAGUUGGAUGUGAAAUCCCCGGGCUCAACCUGGGAACUGCAUCCAAAACUGGCAAGCUAGAGUAUGGUAGAGGGUGGUGGAAUUUCCUGUGUAGCGGUGAAAUGCGUAGAUAUAGGAAGGAACACCAGUGGCGAAGGCGACCACCUGGACUGAUACUGACACUGAGGUGCGAAAGCGUGGGGAGCAAACAGGAUUAGAGACCCGAGUAGUCCCUGUCUCUUAUAC